GUGCUUGCUUUAGCAGCACAUAUAUACUAAAAAUUGGAAUGAUACAGAGAAGAUUAGCAUGGCCUCUGCACAAGCAUGACACUCAAAUAUGUGAAGCAUUCUAUAUUCUU
This is a small nuclear RNA of Hippopotamus amphibius kiboko, 110 nucleotides long. Lineage: Eukaryota; Metazoa; Chordata; Mammalia; Artiodactyla; Hippopotamidae. The record is from RefSeq and is a predicted model, not a curated record.